AGUGCAAAGCAUAUGAUGAGAAAGCAUGGAAACUGACUCUCUAUGGAGUACACUCAGUCCAACACUGAGCUUUGUGUC
Molecule: small nucleolar RNA, 78 nt
Organism: Phalacrocorax carbo (great cormorant)
Lineage: Eukaryota; Metazoa; Chordata; Aves; Suliformes; Phalacrocoracidae
Rfam family: Small nucleolar RNA SNORD69
About the family: snoRNA HBII-210 belongs to the C/D family of snoRNAs. It is the human orthologue of the mouse MBII-210 and is predicted to guide the 2'O-ribose methylation of large 28S rRNA on residue G4464.
Source: Rfam